Punica granatum (pomegranate) is the source of this 3604-nucleotide non-coding RNA. The record is from RefSeq and is a predicted model, not a curated record. NCBI's taxonomy places the organism in Eukaryota, Viridiplantae, Streptophyta, Magnoliopsida, Myrtales, Lythraceae.
AAAAAUUGAAAAAACAGAUCUCGCAGUCGAGAAAGGGAGAGAGAGGGUGUGGUCGAUGCUGGCCCCACCCCUCCUACGUCCUUGGUCGACGGCGGCUUGGGAAGUCACUGGUGACCUCGGAUGGGGGUUGGUUGCAGCCGGCGACGACCUCAUCCCCCGAAAUCAGUUGCAGACGGUGACGACCUUCGGCUCUCGCCGGCGUCUAUUACUCUCUCUCUCUGUCCCCCCUUCUCUCUUCUCUCUCUAUCUCUUUCUGUAUACGAAGUCCGAUCAUCAUUAAUGUCGCUGGAAUCCUGCGUUCGGUCGAUUGCCUUCUCAUCAGGUUUGCGUGCCUCUCCUUAUCAUGGCGCGUUCUCUCUCCUAUCUAUUUUUCAAAGAGAGAAAAUUAGAGCAAAUCAGUAAAUAGCAGGGUUGAGUAGAUGGUGAGGUUGAAUUGAAUGAUCAAUUUUAGGAAGUCCUAUCUAUGAAGGUAAAGUCACAGAUGCUAUUGUUUUGUUUGGUUUGAAGUGUUGGUGAAAUUGCAUGAAAGAAAUUAUGGAGUCUUGUAGGUGUGGAUUCUGGAUAUUUUACCUCUAUUAUUUUCCUGUGAUAUUUUAUGGAAAGAUUUGCUUGCUAAAAUGAAGGAUUACUUGUCUUUCUUUGUCAUGGUUCUGGCAUGAUAUCCUUUUAAAUGGAAUCUUUACUAAGAUUAUAUUGUGUUAACUUGAGCGUUGGUUAUGGGUAGACAUUCCAGAUUUGGUUAUUGCAUACCUAACUUUGAUAUUGCUCUGCAUUGUUCUUGGCUGGAUUAUUCUGCUCUGGCAUAGUGAAUGGUCAAAUCUCUUAAAGUAUGGUAAGGACAUCUUGUUAUGAAGCUUUGUGUUAUGAAAAAGUUCCUUUUCUUACACUUUUCAAUCAUAUGAGACUAGACAGACCAAGUUUUUCCUUUCUCUGCUAUGGACACACACACAUAUAUACGCCUCUGAGAAGUUUUUCCAUUAACAAAAGCAAGUGCAUUUUGCACCGAAGAAAAAAUUAGUCCAAAGUGUAGUAGACGAGGUCAAUUGACCCGCUUUAUUUUUGCAUUGUCUCUCAUACAUGGGAAAGAGGUAAAAAUAUGGGGUCAAUUCCUUGAAAAAAAAAAUCCCACAAAUAUCUCUCAAGUACUUUUACCCCCAAUUUUGUCUUCAUGUCCAUUACGCUGAAACAAGAUGAUAAAUAAAAAAAUAUACAUCCACCAAAAGAAAAAUAAAAAUAAAAAAAAAAAUCUCUCUUUCCCUUACAUGUAGUGCCUCUAGAUUACUCUCGGGAAAAUUUUAUGUAAGUACAAUUUAAUCUAUCCAUCUUGAAGGCUAUGUUUUGGUGAAGCACUCGGGAAAACUUUUGCGGUCAAUGAGGAUGUCCGCUCUUCCCAAGAGCAGGUGGGUUGUAAUGAACCUCUAGUUAGGGAUGUUCGAACUUUGUUUCAUCAGGAUUGCAUGGUAGUAGUAGAACACGUUUAUCAUGAGUGAAAUAUAUAGGCAUUUUGAUUAGUGAAUCAUACGCUUACGCUCUUAAUCAAAGUUCAUAUACUUAACUAGCGCUUUGCCGGCUUGAUCUCUUGUUAUUUGGGGAUUCACAGGGGUCCACUCACCAUGCCCCGCUUUUGACGUUUUCUUUCUAAUGCAUUCUGGUUUCGCCCCGUAUGUCACCCAAAUAUAUGUGUGUGUAUAUAUGAAUACUAAAUACUUAUCGUGAUGUUAAGAAAUAAAAAUACUAGAUUGACGUAAUGUACUAUUCUAAUUCAUACUUGUAGCAUUUUAUUAGUAAAAAGUAAAGUACCAUUGCUCAUAAUUAUAGUAUUAUGGUUCUUACUUUUAGUAUUUUUUUUCAAACAUUGUGGCAGAUUGGACACAUUAUCCAAACAUCGUGUCACAUGACAGGUCUAUCUAACAUAACACUAUUCAUGAUAAUAUGUUUAAUUCUUUCAAUUCAUGUGUUUAGUAGUUCCAUCUAAAUUUUUAGUAUUAUUAGUACUUGUGAUUAGUACAAACGUAUAAUUCUUUUAAUUUCUGGUCAAGGAUUUAGUGCUUCAUGUGUGUAUAUAUAUGAAUACUAAAUACUUAUCGUGACGUUAAGAAAUAAAAAUACUAGAUUGACGUAAUGUACUAUUCUAAUUCAUACUUGUGGCAUUUUAUUAGUAGAGUUAAAUGCAGUUAACCCUCGGAAUGCCCCCCGACCUUUAAAUUUUUGCAGAGUGCUUCCCGACCUUACCGGAAGUAGGCAACAUGCCCCUCAAUUAAAUUCCGGCCAAAAUUCCGUCUAAGAAAUACCUGCAAAAAAAAAAACAGAAAAAAAAAAGAAGGAAUAGGAGAACAGUGGAACGUAUCCAUCUUCUAGGCGACCAUAUCUCCCUGACCUCCGGUGCAGGCCAGUCCCCACAACCCUAUCUCCCUGAGCAGCUGCGGCGAUUCUCCCUGUGCGACCAGAUUACGGUGCAGAGACCAAACCCCUGCCCUCGCGACUCCAUUGCCAGCGAUUGGCCUCGACUGUGAUGACCCCUCCUCGACCAGACUCCAAUAUACACCAACAGCCUUGCAAGCCCAUCUUCCCAAGUAGCCACGGUGACCAUCUCCCUGCCCGACUAGACUCCGGUUCAGGUGGGUGCCCCAUUUCUCUGUUGUAUUUGUCCCCUUUUCCCACUUCGUUCUGCAAUUUGAUGCAAUUAUUACGCAAUUCAAUGCCAAAUUGUGGUUAUAAUUGUCCUGUUUGGUUGGGUGGGUGUUGAUUUUGCUUAUUAAUUCCCCAAUGAUGGGCAUUGGGACUGCGUUCUUACAUUGGUGAAUUGAAGUUUAAAUUGGUCAAUUGGAGAUUCUGCAGUGGAAAUUGGGACUGCCUUGUCGUAUUUCAGUGCUGUCUAUGUCUUGAGCUACCUUGUACAAGCUGAAUGAUGCAACAAACUACCUUGGACAAGCUGAAUAAUGCAACAGUUGGAAAAACAACAUGAUGUUGGUUGUUUAUAAUACUUAUAUUUGGUUCUUGCUUGUAUUUGUGCAUUUUGUUUAGUCUUUUAGCUUUUGGUUGUUCCUUUGUGCAUUUUGUUUUGAUUUUGGUUCAUUUUGAGCUCUCUUAGGACAGUUGAAAUGACUGCUUUUAAACCGGGCAAUAGGAUAAUAGGAUUGACAUGUAAUAAUGCUAAUUUGUUCUGAGAUUUUGGUGAUUCAUGGAGAUGAGCACAAGCAGAUAAUUCUCAGUCAUGGCCCUGCUUGAAUGAAGCUUUUAACAAAAUUCCAGGACCCUGCUGAGGCUGACGAAGUUGUUGAAAAUUCUUGGAUGAAACGAAAAUCAUACCUAUAAGAAGAGGAUGUCCACAGGGAACACUGACACUAUUUGUGAAGCUACUAUCGUGUGGACCAAUGGAGUUUCGUGCUACCCGAUACUGAUAUAGUUCAGAUUACAGGAACUAGAAUGUUGCACCUGAGGCUUUGUUAUCAGUUUCAGGGGAGGAGCUAAACAACUUAUCAGUUUAUUCUCGAGUCUUAGGACGCAAAAAAGAUGCUAUUGCCGUGAUGUAACCUUUAUUUAUUUUUUUUGGUCAACAAUGUAAACUCUAUCCACUUAAUGAAAUAUGCCUUUUGGGAUGCAA